ACGGAGGGUGCAAGCGUUGUUCGGAAUUACUGGGCGUAAAGGGCGUGUAGGCGGUAUAAUAAGUUAGGUGUGAAAUCUUUAGGCUUAACCUAAAAAGUGCACUUAAAACUGUUAAACUAGAGUUCGGUAGGGGGAAGUGGAAUUCCUAGUGUAGAGGUGAAAUUCGUAGAUAUUAGGAAGAACACCGGUGGCGAAGGCGGCUUCCUGGACCGAUACUGACGCUGAGACGCGAAAGCGUGGGGAGCAAACAGGAUUAGAUACCCUGGAAGUCCACGCUGUAAACGAUGAUCACUAAGUAUGGGGGGAUUAAUUCCUUCUGUGCUCAAGCUAACGCGUUAAGUGAUCCGCCUGGGGAGUACGGUCGCAAGAUUA
Molecule: ribosomal RNA, 372 nt
Filed under: uncultured bacterium
Lineage: Bacteria
Description: bacterial SSU rRNA
Rfam family: Bacterial small subunit ribosomal RNA
Source: RNAcentral